This 698-nucleotide small RNA is filed under the name Oryza sativa Japonica Group (Japanese rice). Its description in RNAcentral is "sRNA Os05g0229000". Lineage: Eukaryota; Viridiplantae; Streptophyta; Magnoliopsida; Poales; Poaceae. The record is from RNAcentral.
GGACUAGUACAAAACUAUACAGCUUUCUUGUAGUUUUUUGCCGCAAGCUUUCUUGUAGUUGUAUACAUGUUUAGGGUUUAGAUGGGAUUACUUUUUACGCAUUUGCUUAAUUGUUCAAUAUAUAUUCAUACCACAUUUGCAUCCAAACAUUUGGAUUCUCUAGAUAAGAUAUAGUAGUCAGGGAGGUAUUGUUGCUUAUAUUCCACACUAUUGUUCUAAUACAUGCACGAUACAAGUUAUAUAUGCGUUACAGUACAUUUCUGAGUAAUUGAACUUAACCCACUGUUUGCAUGAAUAGAUAUUCACCCAUCUGUUUUGUUCAUGUAGUUGGUUUCUUCUGUAUUAACCAAUAAAUACUAUUUUACCAUCAAGAAAGAGGUAGAAGAAUCACACGAAGCAAGGAAGCAACAGCUGGAAGAUAUUGAAAUUUUAAAGAAGUCACCGAAGGAGACAAAUGACCUUCGUCGGCUGAUUGGCCUUAACACUCUUGUGGUUAGCCUCAUGCUGAUUCAUGCUGAGAUGACUAGUUUUGUGGUUGGUGUGAUCUGGACAUGUGACUUUGUUUUUGUUGGUGAAUGUAAACGACUAUUUGGACAAGUGACGUCAUUUUGGUCACAAUGACGUUGGCUGGAUUUUGGUCGGCGAUGAUAUGCUCAAUGUACUGAUGUUGUAUCGAUGUAAUUGAACCUGUUUUGGUU